AUUGAACGCUGGCGGCAUGCCUUACACAUGCAAGUCGAACGGCAGCGCGGACUUCGGUCUGGCGGCGAGUGGCGAACGGGUGAGUAAUACAUCGGAACGUACCCUGUUGUGGGGGAUAACUAGUCGAAAGAUUAGCUAAUACCGCAUACGAGCUGAGGGGGAAAGUGGGGGACCGCACGGCCUCACGCACUAGGAGCGGUCGAUGUCUGGUUAGCUAGUUGGUGGGGUAAAGGCCCACCAAGGCGACGAUCAGUAGCUGGUCUGAGAGGACGAUCAGCCACACUGGGACUGAGACACGGCCCAGACUCCUACGGGAGGCAGCAGUGGGGAAUUUUGGACAAUGGGGGCAACCCUGAUCCAGCAAUGCCGCGUGUGUGAAGAAGGCCUUCGGGUUGUAAAGCACUUUUGUCCGGAAAGAAAUCGCGCUGGUUAAUACCUGGCGUGGAUGACGGUACCGGAAGAAUAAGCACCGGCUAACUACGUGCCAGCAGCCGCAGUAA
This 500-nucleotide ribosomal RNA is filed under the name uncultured bacterium. RNAcentral's name for it is "partial 16S ribosomal RNA". It matches the Rfam family "Bacterial small subunit ribosomal RNA", at positions 30 to 523 of the family's 1533-position model. The record is from RNAcentral.